GGGGGCGACAGGCUUACGCGUAGGGAAACAACAAUUGCCAACUCUAACGAGUUAGCUCUCGCGGCCUAAACAGCUAGCGAGCGUCUCCGCCGCAAGUUGCUCAUGCGCGCGGAUGGAGAUGUCACCUUAGAUGAGCUGGCCCAUCGCUUCGGUCCGUGGUGGUGGGUGAGAUCAAGCCGGACUAGCUCGUGCUGAGGUCUUGCUAUUUCACUUACUCGGCGUUGGGCAAAACUUGUCCGGUCGCAAGGCCGGACGAAAAGAGAAGCAGCUAAGCAUGUAGAGUCCUUCGGCGUUGGCUUUUGGAUCCGGGUUCGAUUCCCGGCGCCUCCACCA
RNAcentral lists this transfer-messenger RNA (333 nucleotides) under Acidobacteria bacterium 13_1_40CM_3_55_6. It matches the Rfam family "transfer-messenger RNA", at positions 52 to 374 of the family's 374-position model. From Rfam's summary of the family: Bacterial tmRNA, also known as 10Sa RNA or SsrA, is named for its dual tRNA and mRNA-like properties. Its role is to liberate the mRNA from a stalled ribosome. The record is from RNAcentral. Lineage: Bacteria; Pseudomonadati; Acidobacteriota.